This 427-nucleotide ribosomal RNA is filed under the name uncultured bacterium. RNAcentral describes it as "bacterial SSU rRNA". It matches the Rfam family "Bacterial small subunit ribosomal RNA", at positions 355 to 774 of the family's 1533-position model. The record is from RNAcentral.
UAGGGAAUAUUGGACAAUGGGGGCAACCCUGAUCCAGCCAUGCCGCGUGAGUGAAGAAGGCCCUCGGGUUGUAAAGCUCUUUUGUCCGGAAAGAAAAGCUUCGGGUUAAUACCCCGGGGUUCUGACGGUACCGGAAGAAUAAGCACCGGCUAACUUCGUGCCAGCAGCCGCGGUAAUACGAAGGGUGCAAGCGUUACUCGGAAUUACUGGGCGUAAAGCGUGCGUAGGUGGUUGUUUAAGUCUGAUGUGAAAGCCCUGGGCUCAACCUGGGUAUGGCAUUGGAAACUGGGCAGCUAGAGUGCGGUAGAGGGUAGUGGAAUUCCCGGUGUAGCAGUGAAAUGCGUAGAGAUCGGGAGGAACAUCUGUGGCGAAGGCGACUGCCUGGACCAGCACUGACACUGAGGCACGAAAGCGUGGGGAGCAAACA